This 245-nucleotide ribosomal RNA is filed under the name uncultured Lactobacillus sp. Its description in RNAcentral is "partial 16S ribosomal RNA". It matches the Rfam family "Bacterial small subunit ribosomal RNA", at positions 118 to 355 of the family's 1533-position model. Lineage: Bacteria; Bacillati; Bacillota; Bacilli; Lactobacillales; Lactobacillaceae. The record is from RNAcentral.
UGGGGAACCUGCCCCAUAGUCUGGGAUACCACUUGGAAACAGGUGCUAAUACCGGAUAAGAAAGCAGAUCGCAUGAUCAGCUUUUAAAAGGCGGCGUAAGCUGUCGCUAUGGGAUGGCCCCGCGGUGCAUUAGUUAGUUGGUAAGGUAAAGGCUUACCAAGGCGAUGAUGCAUAGCCGAGUUGAUAGACUGAUCGGCCACAUUGGGACUGAGACACGGCCCAAACUCCUACGGGAGGCAGCAGUC